This 305-nucleotide ribosomal RNA is filed under the name uncultured bacterium. RNAcentral describes it as "bacterial SSU rRNA". It matches the Rfam family "Bacterial small subunit ribosomal RNA", at positions 335 to 635 of the family's 1533-position model. The record is from RNAcentral.
UCUGGCCUACGGGAGGCAGCAGUGAGGAAUAUUGGUCAAUGGGCGGGAGCCUGAACCAGCCAAGUCGCGUGAGGGAAGACGGUCCUAUGGAUUGUAAACCUCUUUAGGCGGGGAGCAAUGCCGGGCACGCGUGCCCGGAGGGAGAGUACCCGCAGAAUAAGCAUCGGCUAACUCCGUGCCAGCAGCCGCGGUAAUACGGAGGAUGCGAGCGUUAUCCGGAUUUAUUGGGUUUAAAGGGUGCGUAGGCGGGUUUUUAAGUCAGCGGUAAAAUGUCCGGGCUCAACCCGGGCAGGCCGGUGAAACGG